GAUGAAGAACGCAGCGAAAUGCGAUAAGUAAUGUGAAUUGCAGAAUUCAGUGAAUCAUCGAAUCUUUGAACGCACCUUGCACCCUUUGGACUGCUCCAAAGGGUAUGCUCGUCUGAGUGUCAUUGUACUCUCACACUCUCUGAUCCUUUGGAUUUGGGGAGCGGUGGACUUGGGUGCUUGCUGCUUCCUUGUGGCUCACCUGAAAUGCAUCAGUGCAUCUCUCGAUUGGACAUAGCACGGCGUGAUAAGUGUCUUCGCCGGCACCUCAUAUGAGGGUGGCCGAUCGGGAGCUCUGUGCUUUCAAACCGUCUUCGGACAACGCUGACAACUUGACCUCAAAUCGAGUAGGACUACCCGCUGAACUUAAGCAUAUCAAUAAGCGGAGGA
RNAcentral lists this unclassified non-coding RNA (387 nucleotides) under soil metagenome. Its description in RNAcentral is "partial contains 5.8S ribosomal RNA, internal transcribed spacer 2, and large subunit ribosomal RNA". The stretch from base 1 to 122 matches the Rfam family "5.8S ribosomal RNA", at positions 35 to 154 of the family's 154-position model. The record is from RNAcentral.